This 497-nucleotide ribosomal RNA is filed under the name uncultured bacterium. RNAcentral describes it as "partial 16S ribosomal RNA". It matches the Rfam family "Bacterial small subunit ribosomal RNA", at positions 28 to 507 of the family's 1533-position model. The record is from RNAcentral.
GAUGAACGCUGGCGGCGUGCCUAAUACAUGCAAGUCGAGCGAACAGACGAGGAGCUUGCUCCUCUGACGUUAGCGGCGGACGGGUGAGUAACACGUGGAUAACCUACCUAUAAGACUGGGAUAACUUCGGGAAACCGGAGCUAAUACCGGAUAAUAUAUUGAACCGCAUGGUUCAAUAGUGAAAGACGGUUUUGCUGUCACUUAUAGAUGGAUCCGCGCCGCAUUAGCUAGUUGGUAAGGUAACGGCUUACCAAGGCAACGAUGCGUAGCCGACCGGAGAGGGUGAUCGGCCACACUGGAACUGAGACACGGUCCAGACUACUACGGGAGGCAGCAGUAGGGAAUCUGCCGCAAAGGGCGGAAGCCUGACGGAGCAACGUCGCGUGAGUGAUGAAGGUCUUCGGAUCGUAAAGCUCUGUUAUUAGGGAAGAACAAAUGUGUAAGUAACUAUGCACGUCUUGACGGUAACUAAUCAGAAAGCCACGGCUAACUACGUG